GUGGGGAAUCUUCCGCAAUGGACGAAAGUCUGACGGAGCAACGCCGCGUGAGUGAAGAAGGUUUUCGGAUCGUAAAGCUCUUUCGUUAGGGACGAACGUGCUCUUUGUGAAUAAUGAGGAGUAAUGACGGUACCUAAAUAAGAAGCCACGGCUAACUACGUGCCAGCAGCCGCGGUAAUACGUAGGUGGCAAGCGUUGUCCGGAAUUAUUGGGCGUAAAGCGCGCGCAGGCGGGAUAUCAAGUCUGUCUUAAAAGUGCGAGGCUCAACCUCGUGAGGUGACAGAAACUGGUAUUCUUGAGUGUCGGAGAGGAAAGUGGAAUUCCAAGUGUAGCGGUGAAAUGCGUAGAGAUUUGGAAGAACACCAGUGGCGAAGGCGACUUUCUGGACGAUGUCUGACGCUGAGGCGCGAAAGCUAGGGGAGCGAACGGGAUUAGAUACCCGUGUAGUCC
Molecule: ribosomal RNA, 450 nt
Filed under: uncultured bacterium
Lineage: Bacteria
Description: partial 16S ribosomal RNA
Rfam family: Bacterial small subunit ribosomal RNA
Source: RNAcentral